Molecule: ribosomal RNA, 503 nt
Filed under: uncultured bacterium
Lineage: Bacteria
Description: bacterial SSU rRNA
Rfam family: Bacterial small subunit ribosomal RNA
Source: RNAcentral
AGUCACGAGUUUGAUCCUGGCUCAGGAUGAACGCUAGCGGCAGGCCUAACACAUGCAAGUCGAGGGGUAGAGUUCUUCGGGACUUGAGACCGGCGCACGGGUGCGUAACGCGUAUGCAAUCUACCUUAUACAGGGGAAUAGCCCAGAGAAAUUUGGAUUAAUGCCCCAUAGUGUUAUCGAAUCGCAUGGUUUGAUAACUAAAGUUCCAACGGUAUAAGAUGAGCAUGCGUCCCAUUAGUUAGUUGGUAAGGUAACGGCUUACCAAGACAAUGAUGGGUAGGGGUCCUGAGAGGGAGAUCCCCCACACUGGUACUGAGACACGGACCAGACUCCUACGGGAGGCAGCAGUGAGGAAUAUUGGUCAAUGGGCGCAAGCCUGAACCAGCCAUGCCGCGUGCAGGAAGACGGUCCUAUGGAUUGUAAACUGCUUUUAUACAGGAAGAAACCCUCCCACGUGUGGGAGCUUGACGGUACUGUAGGAAUAAGGACCGGCUAACUCCGUG